AGAACUUAGCAGAGAUGCUUUGGUGCCUUCGGGAACUCUGAGACAGGUGCUGCAUGGCUGUCGUCAGCUCGUGUUGUGAAAUGUUGGGUUAAGUCCCGCAACGAGCGCAACCCUUAUCCUUUGUUGCCAGCGGUCCGGCCGGGAACUCAAAGGAGACUGCCAGUGAUAAACUGGAGGAAGGUGGGAUGACGUCAAGUCAUCAUGGCCCUUACGAGUAGGGCUACACACGUGCUACAAUGGCGCAUACAAAGAGAAGCGACCUCGCGAGAGCAAGCGGACCUCAUAAAGUGCGUCGUAGUCCGGAUUGGAGUCUGCAACUCGACUCCAUGAAGUCGGAAUCGCUAGUAAUCGUGGAUCAGAAUGCCACGGUGAAUACGUUCCCGGGCCUUGUACACACCGCCCGUCACACCAUGGGAGUGGGUUGCAAAAGAAGUAGGUAGCUUAACCUUCGGGAGGGCGCUUACCACUUUGUGAUUCAUGACUGGGGUGAAGUCGUAACAAGGUAAGCGUAGUGCU
Molecule: ribosomal RNA, 516 nt
Filed under: uncultured bacterium
Lineage: Bacteria
Description: bacterial SSU rRNA
Rfam family: Bacterial small subunit ribosomal RNA
Source: RNAcentral